RNAcentral lists this transfer RNA (72 nucleotides) under Hofstenia miamia. Its description in RNAcentral is "tRNA-Gln for anticodon UUG". It matches the Rfam family "tRNA". From Rfam's summary of the family: Transfer RNA (tRNA) molecules are approximately 80 nucleotides in length. Lineage: Eukaryota; Metazoa; Xenacoelomorpha; Acoela; Hofsteniidae. The record is from RNAcentral.
GCUUCCAUGGUGUAGCGGUUAGCACCUUGGACUUUGAAUCAAAAGCCUCGAAUUCGAGUCUCGGUGCGACCU